Molecule: ribosomal RNA, 267 nt
Filed under: Festuca rubra
Lineage: Eukaryota; Viridiplantae; Streptophyta; Magnoliopsida; Poales; Poaceae
Description: 5.8S ribosomal RNA
Rfam family: 5.8S ribosomal RNA (bases 1-145)
About the family: 5.8S ribosomal RNA (5.8S rRNA) is a component of the large subunit of the eukaryotic ribosome. It is transcribed by RNA polymerase I as part of the 45S precursor that also contains 18S and 28S rRNA.
Source: RNAcentral
ACGGAUAUCUCGGCUCUCGCAUCGAUGAAGAACGUAGCGAAAUGCGAUACCUGGUGUGAAUUGCAGAAUCCCGCGAACCAUCGAGUCUUUGAACGCAAGUUGCGCCCGAGGCCUUCUGGCCGAGGGCACGCCUGCCUGGGCGUCACGCCAAACACGCUCCCACCCCACUAACAUGGGGCGGGAUGCGGCAUGUGGCUCCCCGUCUCGCAAGGGGCGGUGUGCCGAAGAUCUGGCUGCCGGUGUAUCGUGCCGGACACAGCGCGUGGU